UGUAAAUUUAACCAGCACCAUUGAAAAAGCUUAUUAGGAGUUUGCUGUUCAUAUUUUCUGGUUAAGAAAGGCCAAACCUUGCUAUGGGAAUGACAAGACGAAAAUAGAUGUCCCCUAGAUUUUUCCUGAAGAUUGUCUGAUAUCAGUGUGUCUGGCGUCCUUCACCCCCACCCUCCCAAAGGGGAGGCUCCAGCAAUUAUGAGGGAAGAAAUCUGUGACAGGUACUGAACACAACCAUAAAUGGACUGCAUUUGAAAAUAAAAACUGAAAACGGCUGCAAGGGACUAAGGCAUUGAUGCAGUUUGACGUGUCUUUGUAGCCUGCCUGAUCCACUCUUGAAAAUACUUCACCUCUAACGUCCGGGCUGCACGGACUGAGGGUGGGUCAUUGUCAUUGCUGUAGCGGAGGUCCAAGUGAUGGGCUCCAUCAGGAAUCAUAAUGGAUACCAGAGAAUCUGUUAUGUUGUAAGUCACUCCACCAGCUGACCAUGGGUCAAGUCCUCCGUUACUGAAAUACAACAGCAGAGACAGUGUGCACUGAAAAUAUAUGAGACACUUGUAUACAAGGUUGUUCAUUUAUGGCAUGGUGUGGCAGCAACCAACACAAAAUCAUUAGUGACUUUUCAUAUAAUUGUUUUGUACAUUCUAGUAUCAAUACAUCAGAAUUCACAGCAUGCAUUCUUUGAACUGUUAUUGUCUUAUAUGUCCACAUAAAGUCUGUGAAAACAAAUUUCAAGCACAACAUGGUUAUUUAUCUACUGGGCUACGCCAACUUUACAAGAGGUUAACGUAAGCAAGUAAGUAAGUAUGUUUAUUUAAAUAAAUACCACCU
Molecule: long non-coding RNA, 831 nt
Organism: Micropterus dolomieu (smallmouth bass)
Lineage: Eukaryota; Metazoa; Chordata; Actinopteri; Centrarchiformes; Centrarchidae
Exons: 4
Source: RefSeq, a predicted model, not a curated record